RNAcentral lists this unclassified non-coding RNA (266 nucleotides) under plant metagenome. Its description in RNAcentral is "partial contains small subunit ribosomal RNA, internal transcribed spacer 1, and 5.8S ribosomal RNA". The stretch from base 1 to 54 matches the Rfam family "Eukaryotic small subunit ribosomal RNA", at positions 1778 to 1831 of the family's 1831-position model. The record is from RNAcentral.
GGGAGUAAAAGUCGUAACAAGGUCUCCGUUGGUGAACCAGCGGAGGGAUCAUUACCGAGUUUACAACUCCCAAACCCAAUGUGAACCAUACCAAACUGUUGCCUCGGCGGGGUCACGCCCCGGGUGCGUCGCAGCCCCGGAACCAGGCGCCCGCCGGAGGGACCAACCAAACUCUUUCUGUAGUCCCCUCGCGGACGUUAUUUUUACAGCUCUGAGCAAAAAUUCAAAAUGAAUCAAAACUUUCAACAACGGAUCUCUUGGUUCUG